Molecule: long non-coding RNA, 416 nt
Organism: Bubalus bubalis (water buffalo)
Lineage: Eukaryota; Metazoa; Chordata; Mammalia; Artiodactyla; Bovidae
Exons: 3
Source: RefSeq, a predicted model, not a curated record
GAACAAAGGGUUACCUCACUCUCUUCACCACAAAGCCUGACUCCUAGGGCGGUGGCUGGCUCUCUGUACUCCCAAGUACAGUCCUUGCAUGGUCCUGCCUGGCUUGCGGCGUCCUCCUCCUCUUCUCUAGUGCAUGGCUAGGACCUCCAAAGCUAUGUUGAAUAAUAUUGGAAAGCAUCGACAGUCUCGUCUGGUUCCUGAUCUUAGAGGAAAUGCUUUCAGUUUUUUUAUCAUUGAGAAUGACGUGUGCUAUGGGCUUGUCGUAUAUAGCCUUUCUUACAUUAAGGAUUCCAUCUAGAAUAAUAGCUCUUUAGAGUAUGCUGCUACUGCUGCUGCUAAGUCACUUCAGUCGUGUCCGACUCUGUGCAACCCCAUAGACGGCAGCCCACCAGGCUCCCCCGUCCCUGGGAUUCUCC